GAGAGUUUGAUCCUGGCUCAGGACGAACGCUGGCGGCGUGCUUAACACAUGCAAGUCGAACGGUAAGGCCCUUUCGGGGGUACACGAGUGGCGAACGGGUGAGUAACACGUGGGUGACCUGCCCUGUACUUCGGGAUAAGCCUGGGAAACUGGGUCUAAUACCGGAUAUGACCUUCUCCUGCAUGGGGGUUGGUGGAAAGCUUUUGCGGUACAGGAUGGGCCCGCGGCCUAUCAGCUUGUUGGUGGGGUAAUGGCCUACCAAGGCGACGACGGGUAGCCGGCCUGAGAGGGCGACCGGCCACACUGGGACUGAGACACGGCCCAGACUCCUACGGGAGGCAGCAGUGGGGAAUAUUGCACAAUGGGCGCAAGCCUGAUGCAGCGACGCCGCGUGAGGGAUGACGGCCUUCGGGUUGUAAACCUCUUUCAGUAGGGACGAAGCGCAAGUGACGGUACCUACAGAAGAAGCACCGGCCAACUACGUGCCAGCAGCCGCGGUAAUACGUAGGGUGCAAGCGUUGUCCGGAAUUACUGGGCGUAAAGAGCUCGUAGGCGGUUUGUCACGUCGUCUGUGAAAACCCGAGGCUUAACCUCGGGCCUGCAGGCGAUACGGGCAGACUUGAGUACUGUAGGGGAGACUGGAAUUCCUGGUGUAGCGGUGGAAUGCGCAGAUAUCAGGAGGAACACCGGUGGCGAAGGCGGGUCUCUGGGCAGUAACUGACGCUGAGGAGCGAAAGCGUGGGUAGCGAACAGGAUUAGAUACCCUGGUAGUCCACGCCGUAAACGGUGGGUACUAGGUGUGGGUUUCCUUCCACGGGAUCCGUGCCGUAGCUAACGCAUUAAGUACCCCGCCUGGGGAGUACGGCCGCAAGGCUAAAACUCAAAGGAAUUGACGGGGGCCCGCGCAAGCGGCGGAGCAUGUGGAUUAAUUCGAUGCAACGCGAAGAACCUUACCUGGGUUUGACAUAUAGAGGAUCGCCGGAGAGAUUCGGUUUGCCUUGUGCCUUCUAUACAGGUGGUGCAUGGCUGUCGUCAGCUCGUGUCGUGAGAUGUUGGGUUAAGUCCCGCAACGAGCGCAACCCUUGUCUCAUGUUGCCAGCACGUAAUGGUGGGGACUCGUGAGAGACUGCCGGGGUCAACUCGGAGGAAGGUGGGGAUGACGUCAAGUCAUCAUGCCCCUUAUGUCCAGGGCUUCACACAUGCUACAAUGGCGCGUACAGAGGGCUGCGAUACCGUGAGGUGGAGCGAAUCCCUUAAAGCGCGUCUCAGUUCGGAUUGGGGUCUGCAACUCGACCCCAUGAAGUCGGAGUCGCUAGUAAUCGCAGAUCAGCAACGCUGCGGUGAAUACGUUCCCGGGCCUUGUACACACCGCCCGUCACGUCAUGAAAGUCGGUAACACCCGAAGCCGGUGGCCUAACCCCUUGUGGGAGGGAGCUGUCGAAGGUGGGAUUGGCGAUUGGGACGAAGUCGUAACAAGGUAGC
This 1482-nucleotide ribosomal RNA is filed under the name uncultured bacterium. RNAcentral describes it as "bacterial SSU rRNA". It matches the Rfam family "Bacterial small subunit ribosomal RNA". The record is from RNAcentral.